CCGUAGCCCUAGAAGCUGAACGAGAGAACUUGUGCAGCAACGAGCAUUACGAUGUCGGCUUUAAAGGUUGCUCUCGUGCUUAUGCUCGCACUCACAAUCAUGGUCGAGAACGUCUCAAGUGCGAGACCAGAGAGCAGCUCCAGUACCCACUCUUGUGAGAAAAGUACCUGCAGUGCAGGGAAUAAGAAUUGCCCACCACCAUGCCAAUGCGUCCAACACGGCAACAAAUAUUCUUGCGUGG
Long non-coding RNA from Rhipicephalus sanguineus (brown dog tick), 241 nucleotides. RefSeq lists it as uncharacterized. NCBI's taxonomy places the organism in Eukaryota, Metazoa, Arthropoda, Arachnida, Ixodida, Ixodidae. The record is from RefSeq and is a predicted model, not a curated record. The transcript has 3 exons.